GAAGCCAGGCCAAGAAGAAUCCCAGGACUGGAAGGCCUUGUGGGACGUCCCAGGUUUGUCUUGUGUCAAUAGCACUGAUACUCAAUCUCCUACUCCCAUCUGUGAGCAUGCAGACCCUACUUGCCUUCCCACAGCCUCCCUUUUCAUAUUUUUCAUGUUUCUUUAGCUCUGUCUUCAAGCCUUGUUGCUCCCGCAAAAAAACCUGCCUCUUCCUCCAGUCCUCCCAAGCAGGGGGAACAGUCCUGACACCUUUCCAAGCCCUGGUCCAUGGACAUUGUGCCCCCUUCUCCCUGCCCAUGGUGACCUGCUCCAAAACCCUCAAGGAGAAGGGAGUGUAUGUCAUUUCCUCCCUGUAAAGUAAAGAUAAUUUUGCAGGGGACUGUGUGGAUGAAAUGACAUGAUGCAUGGAAAUCCCUUAGCGUGUGCCUGGCAUGUAAACUGCAGGUGUCAUCAUUAUUACUGAGGAAUACUGAGUCCCGAACAUGGCUGUCUCAUUGGUGGACUGGGGUCUCCCCCAGGGCAUUCAUCUACUAUGUGUUUAUUGCACCCUUUUUCCAUGUGAGGCACAUGCCAGGGACUGGGCACAUGGUAUGAACAAGACACAGGUCAUCGGUGUCCUCUUGAGCUCCCUGGCUUGGCAGCAGAUGCAUACCUGGGAAGGAUGCUAGGUCAUCCGGGAACUCUACCUCCUUCAAAUCCCUAAGGACUGUGCUCCCAAUCCGCUUACGCUCAAGGAAGAACUGGCAGGACCUGCAGCUAAGCAAGACGUAGGACUGCAAGCUGGGUUGGCACCCUCCCCCUAGGGAGUUCUCCAGGCCUUGCCCCCUCUGUCCCCAGCCUGGAAGCCCUCCCUGGUACCAUACCCCAGCCGAUGAGUAUGUACCCCCAGAAGUACUUCCGCUCAGAGAAGAAGGAGACGGCAAGCAGGGUGUACAGGAAGGCCCAGAACCAGCCUGCUGUCAGGAUCAGAACAAAAGAGGAGGACUGCAUAUGUAUGGACCCACUCCAGAUGGCACGGGGACGGGGGGAGUAGGAAAAGUGGCAUGAUGAGGAAAUGGAGGCACAGACUGAUUAGAAAACCAGCUCAAGGUCAUGUUGCUGCUCUCUCAUUCCUGUUGAGGGCUCUCUGGUGGAGCCUCUGUCUCACAGGUCACCUGCAGGCCAACACUCCCAGAAGCAGCUAGCACCAUGGUUGACCUCGUCCAGGUCCAGGGAAGGCCUCCCUCUCCAGGACUCCUUUAGAUUUCCCCAGCAUCCAGACCUCACCUGCCUAAGUGCUGUUGCCCUGGAAGCCACAGUGAGCACGAGCUCCAUCUUGCACCUUUACCAGCCAAUGGGGGUAAAGACAUUAGCUGGGAAGCCUGAGACCACAGCUACUGCCUCGAAUCAGAAGCCCCAGCCUCAUCAUCUGGGGCCAGAGAACUAGGGCAGGAGGAGCCAAGUAGCACAGCAGGAAGCAUGAGUCCCUCCGAGGAGAAGCUGGUCUCUGAGAGGAGCACAGAAUGCAGCAGGCUGGAUAAGCCCCCUGCUGAAAUCAUGGGGUAAAAAAGAGACACAGGGGGAAUGGAGGAGCCAGAGAGAAAGCAGUGUGAUCACAGGCACACAGGACAGCAGCUCACCUUCCCAUCCUUGCUGGCUUUUGCACCCAACAGCCCAAAGCCUCCCCGCUGCAAAUUCUUUUUUUUUUUUUUUUUUGCCAGCCUCACUUCCUCUUGGGGAAGGCUGAGCUCUGGUAGAAGAAGAGAAUGAGAACUGCUGUAAAUACUUCUAAGGGGCCAGGCGUGGUGACUCAUGCUUGUAAUUCCAAGCACUUUGGGAGGCUGAGGCAGGUGGAUCACCUGAAGCCAGGAGUUCAAGAGCAGCCUGGCCAACAUGGCGAAACCCUGUCUCUACUAAAAAUACAAAAUUUAGCCAGGCAUGGUGGCGGGAGCCUGUAAUCUCAGCUCCUAGGGAGGCUGAGCCAGAAGAAUCGCUUAAACCUGGAAGCUGGAGGUUGCAGUGAGCCAAGAUCACACCACCACACUCCAGCCUGGGUGACAGAGCAAGACUCCAUCUCAAAAAGAAAAAAAAGAAAAAAAGGAAAUACUUCUAAGUUAUGUGAGAGAGUACAUACUGACAUUUUCAAUGGGUACAAUAA
Molecule: long non-coding RNA, 2137 nt
Filed under: Homo sapiens (human)
Lineage: Eukaryota; Metazoa; Chordata; Mammalia; Primates; Hominidae
Description: PREDICTED lncRNA (TCONS_00191776)
Source: RNAcentral